Molecule: long non-coding RNA, 330 nt
Filed under: Homo sapiens (human)
Lineage: Eukaryota; Metazoa; Chordata; Mammalia; Primates; Hominidae
Description: non-protein coding lnc-SLC18A1-1:1
Source: RNAcentral
AUGUUUGCUUUGUAGAAAAACUCACUGGAAUGCAUCAACUCUUGAUUAUAACACAUGAAAAGUAGAAAAUCUGUUCUGGGAUGUAAGCAGACUCCAGAGAUGAUCAGGUGAGGCAAAGCGAAACAGGCCAUGCCUGCUAACAGCUGCCCAACUUCAAGGAAAUAGAAAAUAGACGACAACAUGAUGUUGGCCAAAACUUUUCCAUCACUAAGGUAGCAAUAAUAUCCAAUCAGGCACAGCAUGUGGAAAAUACUACAGAGUAGGCAUACUGGCUACCAUUGAUCAGGGCGAUCGUAGUAUCAUCAGUGGUGUGCCAGAACAGACUGGUGA